RNAcentral lists this signal recognition particle RNA (267 nucleotides) under Macrophomina phaseolina MS6. Its description in RNAcentral is "Fungal signal recognition particle RNA". It matches the Rfam family "Fungal signal recognition particle RNA". Lineage: Eukaryota; Fungi; Ascomycota; Dothideomycetes; Botryosphaeriales; Botryosphaeriaceae. The record is from Rfam by way of RNAcentral.
CGGCUGUAAUGGUCACAAUUCUGAGAGGUGCAUUGAAACCGUAGCCUCUUUCCCUUCUCUCGCCGAGACGAGGGCCCAGUUCGAAUCCGGUGGUGCUCGACCAACGCGCGCAGGUAACUCGCGAUGAAGGCGGGCCUAAGCAAUGAAGUCGACCGUCGAGGGAAGCAAUUCUGCAGACACGACUUCACCAUUGGAUGGCGGUGCUGGAUUACCCGCGUCUCGGUUUGGGAUAGGCGUUAUGGACUGAUGAAUCAACCAGGUACUCUU